Molecule: ribosomal RNA, 497 nt
Filed under: uncultured bacterium
Lineage: Bacteria
Description: partial 16S ribosomal RNA
Rfam family: Bacterial small subunit ribosomal RNA
Source: RNAcentral
GACGAACGCUGGCGGCGUGCCUAAUACAUGCAAGUUGAGCGAUGAAGAUUGGUGCUUGCACCAAUUUGAAGAGCAGCGAACGGGUGAGUAACGCGUGGGGAAUCUGCCUUUGAGCGGGGGACAACAUUUGGAACCGAAUGCUAAUACCGCAUAACAACUUUAAACAUAAGUUUUAAGUUUGAAAGAUGCAAUUGCAUCACCCAAAGAUGAUCCCGCGUUGUAUUAGCUAGUUGGUGAGGUAAAGGCUCACCAAGGCGAUGCUACAUAGCCGACCUGAGAGGGGGAGUGGCAAAAUGGGGACGAAGAAACGGCCCAAACAGCAAGGGGAGGAGGCAGGAGGGAAGCGGAGGCAAGGGAGGAAAGGCGGAACGAGCAACGCCGGGUGAGGGAAGAAGGUUUUCGGAUAGUAAAAAUAUGUGGGUAGAGAAGAACGUGGGUGAGAGUGGAAAGCUCAUAAAGUGACGGUAACUAACCAGAAAGGGACGGCUAACUACGUG